AAUCAACGCUGGCGGCGUGCCUAACACAUGCAAGUCGAACGCGGUUACCCCGCAAGGGGUAACUGAGUGGCGAACGGGUGAGUAACGCGUGGGUGACCUACCUUCGAGUGGGGGAUAACGUCCCGAAAGGGACGCUAAUACCGCAUAACAUCCUGCCUUUGAACAGGCGGUGAUCAAAGCCGGGGAUCGCAAGACCUGGCGCUUGAUGAGGGGCCCGCGUCUGAUUAGCUAGUUGGUGAGGUAAUGGCCCACCAAGGCAACGAUCAGUAUCCGGCCUGAGAGGGGCGGACGGACACACUGGGACUGAGACACGGCCCAGACUCCUACGGGAGCAGCAGUGGGGAAUUGUUCGCAAUGGGCGCAAGCCUGACGACGCAACGCCGCGUGGAGGAUGAAGGUCUUCGGAUUGUAAACUCCUGUUGCUCGGGACGAAUGGCUCCGGCCUAAU
This 448-nucleotide ribosomal RNA is filed under the name uncultured bacterium. RNAcentral describes it as "bacterial SSU rRNA". It matches the Rfam family "Bacterial small subunit ribosomal RNA", at positions 32 to 464 of the family's 1533-position model. The record is from RNAcentral.